AUAUCUCUCUGUACGGGAAGGAUGAGAAGCUUCGACUAAGGUUCGAUUCGAGCGCAGCGAGAAAGCGUUGCCGUAGGCAACGACCCGAAGGGCGAAG
Molecule: small RNA, 97 nt
Filed under: Salmonella enterica subsp. enterica
Lineage: Bacteria; Pseudomonadati; Pseudomonadota; Gammaproteobacteria; Enterobacterales; Enterobacteriaceae
Description: partial RtT sRNA
Rfam family: RtT RNA
About the family: This family represents a bacterial cis-regulatory element known as RtT RNA. The exact function of RtT is unknown although it is thought that it may be involved in changing the cellular response in relation to amino acid starvation.
Source: RNAcentral